UACCCUAGAGUCAUCCUCGGCGAAUCCCUAGCACUUGAGGGGAGGUCGAGCAUGUUGCAGAGCGAGGCGAAGGAGUACUAUGAAGCUAGGAAUAGGGCGGUGAUGAGGGGCUGUUGCUCCAGUGUAGUAGUGUACACGGCGGAGAUGCCUGGCAACCUGAGGGAUGUGGCGGAGCAAAGGGAACGAGGGGAGGGGAGGAGAGGGAAGGGAAGGGGAGGGG
RNAcentral lists this long non-coding RNA (220 nucleotides) under Elaeis guineensis (African oil palm). Its description in RNAcentral is "long non-coding RNA (EGUI_LNC049372)". The record is from RNAcentral. Lineage: Eukaryota; Viridiplantae; Streptophyta; Magnoliopsida; Arecales; Arecaceae.